RNAcentral lists this transfer RNA (72 nucleotides) under Ictidomys tridecemlineatus (thirteen-lined ground squirrel). Its description in RNAcentral is "Spermophilus tridecemlineatus (thirteen-lined ground squirrel) tRNA". It matches the Rfam family "tRNA". Rfam says of the family: Transfer RNA (tRNA) molecules are approximately 80 nucleotides in length. Their secondary structure includes four short double-helical elements and three loops (D, anti-codon, and T loops). The record is from Rfam by way of RNAcentral. Lineage: Eukaryota; Metazoa; Chordata; Mammalia; Rodentia; Sciuridae.
AGAGUUGUGGCUCAGUGGUAGAGCAAUUGCCUAGCAGGCACGAGGCACUGGGUUCAAUCCCCAGCACCGCAU